Molecule: ribosomal RNA, 305 nt
Filed under: uncultured bacterium
Lineage: Bacteria
Description: bacterial SSU rRNA
Rfam family: Bacterial small subunit ribosomal RNA
Source: RNAcentral
GUCCUACGGGAGGCAGCAGUGAGGAAUAUUGGUCAAUGGGCGGGAGCCUGAACCAGCCAAGUCGCGUGAGGGAAGACGGUCCUAUGGAUUGUAAACCUCUUUAGGCGGGGAGCAAUGCCGGACACGUGUGCCCGGAGGGAGAGUACCCGCAGAAUAAGCAUCGGCUAACUCCGUGCCAGCAGCCGCGGUAAUACGGAGGAUGCGAGCGUUAUCCGGAUUUAUUGGGUUUAAAGGGUGCGUAGGCGGAUUUUUAAGUCAGCGGUAAAAUGUCCGGGCUCAACCCGGGCGGGCCGUUGAAACUGGGG